This is a long non-coding RNA of Sparus aurata (gilthead seabream), 2097 nucleotides long. The record is from Ensembl. Lineage: Eukaryota; Metazoa; Chordata; Actinopteri; Spariformes; Sparidae.
GCAAAAUGUUGAAUCAAAAACCAGUGAAACAUCUUUUUAAACCAGUGUUUUUCAGCCAGUGUCCCAGGGACCCAGGCAUGUCAGGCAUGUGUUAGAUGUUUCCCUGCUCCAGCACACCUGAUUCAAAUGUAUGGGUUGUUGUCAGGCUUCAACAGCGCUAGAUGAAGAAGUGAAGACGAGUGGGGCUCAGUGGUUUGUAAUCUGCACCCUCACGACUAGAUGCCACUAAAUCUCACACACUGAGGAAAGAGGACUUGAAUUGGUUGUGAUUCUUUCAUCCAGUCUACGGUGAUAGUUUUAUGAGUCCCUACAUGGUUGCCAGCAGGGCUCAACGACACAUAGAUUACUUAGUCGAGCUUUAACAGACAAGGAAAGCAACAUAUUUAAGAUGUGAUCAAGCUGUCAGGCUUCCUCAGGCUUCACUGAUCACAGGGUUUAAUUUUACUCUUGAGUUUUCAAGCUGUUGUACAGAGAGCAGGUGGCUUUAUGAAACAAUGCCACUGUCACUGUGAUGCUAUUAAUCUUUAACAUCAUUAGAGGAGAAGACAUCCACAGUGUCAUGUGAGAAACUGCACUUUACACUUUACCAGAGGAGACUGUCACACAACAUCAGACGAUGUGUUCACACACUCAAAGGAAAUCACGACUGCAUUCAGAAGGAUUUCUACAAGCUGUCACAGGUUUAAAAUGUUAAACAGGUGGUUAACGCUCACAGCUCUUCUGGCCGCCUCAGCCAAUCCAGGAAGAGCAGCUUUUACCGUCGCACCAACCUGCAGGGUCAAAGGUCAUCCAGAGUUAGAGCUGACUUUAGACUGUGGAGACGGAGAGAACGCAGGUGUGGUCCAGUACUGGCACACCCCCUUUGGAGACCUCCAGAGUCCUGGUUCCCACAGCAAACUGGACCCUGUCUUUAUGCACCAUGAUGGCAGCCUGGUUCUCCACAACACCAGCACCCUCCACAGCGGCCUGUACUACUGCCUCCUGCAGCACACAGAGGGAACAACGCUGUGGCCCUACCAGCUCCACGUCAGUCAUGACAAUAAGGAAUACAGCAAAUAUGAGCAGCACAGCAGCUGUGGUGCGUUCAGGUUCCGGAGGGAUGUCGGGUCUGAUGCAGAGAGGCAGGACGUCGUCUCAAACGGGCAGUUUGCAGGAGCUGUGGCAGCUUCAGUGCUGCUGACAUUUGUGUUUGGCUUCAGCGCUGGAGCUCUGAGCAGGACGCAUGUUCUCAGGUGUUUGGGGGCAGUCGCCACAAAGGUGCCUUCACCAUGGAAACGAUCCCAAGCUGACACACCAGACCAUGCUUCCACGGUCACCAUGACAACCCCGCCGGCCAUGUACGACAACCAGACUUUUCAGAUGGAACAGGUGGAGAUUUCACCGACAAACUCACCUCCACCUCCAAAACCUCAGAGAAGCUUCAGGGACAAACGACGGGAGGAGCAGGAAACCACCACCUAUCUGGAGGGAUGUGACUACAAACAGGAGGAGGAGAGGGGAAAGGAGGAGGUGGCAGGAGGAAGUCUGGAGGAGAGGAAUAAAGGAAGUGUUGUAGAGAAGGAGGAGGAAAGAGGACAAAAUGGAGGGAGUCAAACCGAAACAGAUGAGGAGAGCAGUGAGGAAGUGGAGAAGGAAAAUGGAGAGAGCAGGGAGGAAAUAACAGAAGAGAAAGAGGUGGAGGAGGCAGGAGAACAGGAGAAUAAAAACAAGGAGGGAGAGUGGAGCAGAGGUCAGGAGGUGGAGGAGAAAGGGAGCGAUGAGGACAGGGAAGAAGAAGAGGAGGGACAGAGAAGUGAGAAAGAGGAAGAUGGAGAGACAGGAAGUAACAAACAGGAAGACCCAGAACCAGCGACCUCCCCUCCCCGCCCGAGUCGUCGCAGCCGCGUCAUCCGCCUGUACCAGUAUGACGACGAUGGGCAACGAUAUGGCCACCUUCCAGACCCCGCCCCUGAAGAGCCAGGCCCCGCCCCCCGGCUCAAACAGCGCUCCCUCUCACUGACACGCCUCAGCGCCAUCAUGACUGCCGCAUCAGCGGGGCCGCUGGAAACAGAAGAGACAGGAGGGGAGGAGAGGACACACUUCCACAUGGAGAUAUGA